This 902-nucleotide long non-coding RNA is filed under the name Trifolium pratense (red clover). RNAcentral's name for it is "long non-coding RNA (TPRA_LNC013166)". The record is from RNAcentral. Lineage: Eukaryota; Viridiplantae; Streptophyta; Magnoliopsida; Fabales; Fabaceae.
GUGAUUUGCAGAUACAAUGUUAUCAAGUGUGUUGGAUUAGCCUAUGAACUGAAGUACUUAUGUUGUAGAAGGAUGUCUGAUUUGCAUGUUGGAGAUCAAUGGAGGAAAUUCUCAUAACUAUGAAGGCUUAGAGGUCGAGGAUCUCUACUACAACGAAUAUAAUUGUCCCGUGAAAAUGAGGACGGUAUGGAGGAUAACACUGAAAAAGGUUGCUAGCCUUUCUGCCCCAAAGUAACAAAAUAUGAAUUUUUAGGUAAGAAAAUAUCAUACUUUCACUUUCAAUGUCUGGGGUAUUCAAUUAUGCUUUUAGAGAGGCUGAUAUUGUCAUGUAAUUGCCCAAAUCUUUGUAACUAAGCAUGUUGUCCACUGUUGGAUAUGUCCUGUUUCCCUUGAUAUUUGAUUUGAUAACAUGUUCUAUUUCUAUUAAAUACUUGAAAGUAUAAUUGUCUAGUUACACACUGCACUGCCCAAAUUGUUGAAUGUGUGAUCUAAAUAAGUUUAAUCUUUUCUGCCAAUGAUUGAAAAGAAAGUGCUUAUUGAUUCUACAAGUGAUAACAUUGACAUAGGAUUUAUAUUCAUGGUAGUUUGUUAACCUUUUAGAUUUAUUAUGAGACAAUUGGCCCUGAGAUUGAGACUGUGGUGGGAACAUUGUUGUUUUGUUUGCAGGAUAAUAAUUUUGGGGGUAAAAGAAUAACAGAUGCAAGGAACUUUGUCAAUGAGAUAAAAUCAUAUAUCAAAGGUUUUUUAUUUGUUUCUACUCAUGUUUUAGGUUGUAAGUGAAUGUAGAAACAAGUUUUAAUUUUUAUUUUUGCCAGUUCUGGAUAUGGACGAAAGGCAUCUGAUCUUACCACUAUGUAUGUGUCUUUUUGGCUUUUGGUCUUCUAUUGCUAUUUUACUAUUGC